Molecule: ribosomal RNA, 253 nt
Filed under: uncultured bacterium
Lineage: Bacteria
Description: partial 16S ribosomal RNA
Rfam family: Bacterial small subunit ribosomal RNA
Source: RNAcentral
UACGGAGGGUGCAAGCGUUAUCCGGAUUCACUGGGCUUAAAGGGUGCGUAGGUGGGUUGGUAAGUCAGUGGUGAAAUCUCCGAGCUUAACUUGGAAACUGCCAUUGAUACUAUCAGUCUUGAAUAUUGUGGAGGUCAGCGGAAUAUGUCAUGUAGCGGUGAAAUGCUUAGAUAUGACAUAGAACACCAAUUGCGAAGGCAGCUGGCUACACAUAUAUUGACACUGAGGCACGAAAGCGUGGGGAUCAAACAGG